UACAGAGGUGGCGAGCGUUAUUCGGAAUUAUUGGGCGUAAAGGGCGCGUAGGCGGCUUGACAAGUCCCGGGUGAAAUCCCUCGGCUCAACCGAGGAACUGCCUUGGAAACUGUCGGGCUCGAGCACAGUAGAGGCAGGUGGAAUUCCCGGUGUAGCGGUGGAAUGCGUAGAGAUCGGGAAGAACAUCAGUGGCGAAGGCGGCCUGCUGGGCUGUUGCUGACGCUGAGGCGCGACAGCGUGGGGAGCAAACAGG
RNAcentral lists this ribosomal RNA (253 nucleotides) under uncultured bacterium. RNAcentral's name for it is "partial 16S ribosomal RNA". It matches the Rfam family "Bacterial small subunit ribosomal RNA", at positions 524 to 776 of the family's 1533-position model. The record is from RNAcentral.